This 662-nucleotide ribosomal RNA is filed under the name Rhizopus microsporus. Its description in RNAcentral is "eukaryotic LSU rRNA". The stretch from base 256 to 408 matches the Rfam family "5.8S ribosomal RNA". The record is from RNAcentral. Lineage: Eukaryota; Fungi; Mucoromycota; Mucoromycetes; Mucorales; Rhizopodaceae.
AUCAUUAACUAAUGUAUUGGCACUUUACUGGGAUUUACUUCUCAGUAUUGUUUGCUUCUAUACUGUGAACCUCUGGCGAUGAAGGUCGUAACUGACCUUCGGGAGAGACUCAGGACAUAUAGGCUAUAAUGGGUAGGCCUGUUCUGGGGUUUGAUCGAUGCCAAUCAGGAUUACCUUUCUUCCUUUGGGAAGGAAGGUGCCUGGUACCCUUUACCAUAUACCAUGAAUUCAGAAUUGAAAGUAUAAUAUAAUAACAACUUUUAACAAUGGAUCUCUUGGUUCUCGCAUCGAUGAAGAACGUAGCAAAGUGCGAUAACUAGUGUGAAUUGCAUAUUCGUGAAUCAUCGAGUCUUUGAACGCAGCUUGCACUCUAUGGAUCUUCUAUAGAGUACGCUUGCUUCAGUAUCAUAACCAACCCACACAUAAAAUUUAUUUUAUGUGGUGAUGGACAAGCUCGGUUAAAUUUAAUUAUUAUACCGAUUGUCUAAAAUACAGCCUCUUUGUAAUUUUCAUUAAAUUACGAACUACCUAGCCAUCGUGCUUUUUUGGUCCAACCAAAAAACAUAUAAUCUAGGGGUUCUGCYAGCCAGCAGAUAUUUUAAUGAUCUUUAACUAUGAUCUGAAGUCAAGUGGGACUACCCGCUGAACUUAAGCAUAUCAAU